CAGAAUUUUAUUUCUCACAGCCUGUGUGUUAGGCCAUGUGCAUUCAGGAGUGAGACAUGUAUCAUCUAGAGGCUCUCCCCACCUACCUGCUCCUUCCUCAUUAUCCUUUAGAGACCUUAUCCCAGCCCGCAGUGAAGAAGGAUCAUCUGAACACAGCCAGAAGGUGACUCUCUCCAAGCCUGGAAAGCAGGCUCUCACUAGGAACUAAGUCUAUGGGCACCUUAAUCUUGGACCACCUAGGUUCUAGAACAGUGAGAAAUAAAUUUCUC
This is a long non-coding RNA of Lutra lutra (Eurasian river otter), 269 nucleotides long. RefSeq lists it as uncharacterized. The transcript has 3 exons. The record is from RefSeq and is a predicted model, not a curated record. NCBI's taxonomy places the organism in Eukaryota, Metazoa, Chordata, Mammalia, Carnivora, Mustelidae.